CACAGCUCACAAGCAAUAAUCACAUCAGAAAGGGUUUCCCCACUUUUUCUGGAAAACUCUCUGCCCUAGUUUCAGCCUGUACAUUCACAAGACUUGGUUAAACAUGCAUUGUUUAGUACAGGGCAGAAGCUUUCAGGCAGAAGUGAUCAAGGAGAGGAUUAUAAGGAAAGCUUUCCCUGGCAUCACAAGUGGCCAGUGGAACAAAACUAGUGGAAGAAGCAGCCUUUGAAAGUCUCUCCCUGUAAGGAGCACCCAUUUCCAAACAUCUAUCAGAUGUCUGCAGCAAUCUUGCCUUCCCACUGUAAGAUAACUCAGAGUGAGUCCUGCCAGGUAGUGAUUAUAAACACGUGAAUGACACCAGGAUCGGUGUACCGAGUCGUGAGCACCCUCGUUCCUUGCUGACACACACCAUGUACAGAGAAAAACACCACGUAGAGCCUCCAUUCAGCAUCAAGAACGUGACCUCUGAAACCCUUAAGUUCAGGCCUGGGAUUUCAUGCUGAAUGCUGCCAUGUGGAGUCACUGUAUGUAACCAGUUAAACUGGCUAGAUGGCUGCUGCAGUCCACAGCUGCUCUGGUUUGCACUCAGCAGCAAGCUGUUAUUUGCCUCCUUUUGCACAACACAAGCCUCAUCUCUCUGCAGACAUGCAACAGCAUGUCUGCUACCUUUGCACUACCAUACUCAUGUCCCAGGGUGAGUCCAAGCAAGUUUAGUCAGACUCUCAAGGCCUUUUUUUAAUGCUGAAAUAUUGUCUCAGAAGGCAAUGGCAGGAUGAAUGGGACUGAAACGAGCAUGGGAACACAGUAACUGUAAAUGUGUCCUCACUCGUCUCUUUCAUAUAAUGCUUAUUCAAAAUCUUUUAAUGUUUUUAAUUAGAUUUUACUCAUUGUGAGUUCUGUAUUUCAUUCAUGUAAUAGCACUCUAAUGAAGUCAACUAAGAGCUACAAAAUUCAGAGCUGGAUCUUUAAAAAAUCUUUGAAAACCACAAAUGUCUUGUACUGAUGGUUGAACAACCUGCCUCAGGAUCCAGAAUCCAAACUUUCCUCCAACUCGGGUAUCAAAUAUUCUUACCCAGAAGGCCAUCGACCACCCUUGCAACCCCUUUCUUCAGUGUGGGUGUGAUAACAGCACCCAACCUGGCCAGCACUCCCAGAGGACAUUUUCCAGCAUGGUCCUGGAAAUUGCAGUGAGCCGGGAGUGACCACAAUAAUCACUGGGAGAAGACAUGAGCUGCACAGAUAUGAACUAUGCUGCGCCAGUUCCCCUCCAUGCCGAGCACAGGGCUGGGUGACCAGGACCUGGCUGUCUCGUUUACUUAUUCCUGACAGAUGCAGAAAAGCAGAGAAAGAAGUUUUAGGUCUCCCCAGUCAUUAUAAUGCUACUUCAUCAUCCUCCAUCAAAAGCUAUGUGAUUUCUGCUACCAAAUAAAACAAUUUAAUAAUCAAAGGAGAGUUCACUCAGAAUAUCUUUUUUUUUCCUGUGGUAUCUGUGAAAGCAAAAUCCAGAGGAAGAAAUAGCCAGAGCAGCCAAAAUCUCAAAUUAACACCGCUAGUUUAAAAAUCAAACUGCUACUUUAUAGCCAAGCAAUGUAAAGGAUGUAGGGUAAGUGUAGUUUGAGUGCAACUGCUUAAAGUUGAAGAACAAAGAGUCCUGCUGCCCUUGGAGCCUGACAGAGGAGGCCUGCAGAAAUGCUACUGUGAAAGAAGGGCCACAACUGAUCUGAGGAUUAUGGAGGCGUGUGUUGCUACCAGACAGUCUUGGACCAAAAAUCAGUAGCACUUUCACAUAUUUUUCAGCUGAUAGAAUAUUAAGAACCAUAGACAAUGUGAAGAAGAUUAUUUUAGAAUUCAUAACUACAUUAUCAUCUCCAGAUUUUGCCACAUUAACCUGAAGUGACAUGAAAGAACAGAAAUGUGGUAAUAUUGGGAAUAUAGGAUAGCUCCUACUCUCUAAUGGCCCGGAACCUCCAGCAACAAGAGGGAUGGUCAUAUAGUCCAUCAAUUCUUCAGAGCUCUCUGGAGACCAGUUCUAAGUCAAGAGACUUGCCACGGUAUGUAUCUCGUAGGCUGCAUUCAGCAAGAUCCAUCUCACAUGCACACAAAUGUACCCAGUGUACCAGGAAAGUUGCUCACACAAAGAGGCAGCAGUCAUUUCCCCACACUUAACAAAAUGCAAAGUGAGCAGAAGUGCCAGCAGUAGAAAGUGUAACUGGCAAAGGAUCAUUUGUCACUUGGGUAAUUAUAAUAGGGGAUGCAGUAAUA
Hirundo rustica (Barn swallow) is the source of this 2262-nucleotide long non-coding RNA. RefSeq lists it as uncharacterized. The transcript has 3 exons. The record is from RefSeq and is a predicted model, not a curated record. Lineage: Eukaryota; Metazoa; Chordata; Aves; Passeriformes; Hirundinidae.